AUUCUGCAGAAUUUUUUGUAGAUGAGCUCUGCCCACUGACUUUUUAACGGCCGCGAAUAUGUGCUAAGGUAGCAAAAUAAUUAGGCUUUUAAUUGGAGUCUUGUAUGAAUGAGUUUAAUGGGAUGUAGCUAUCUAAAAUCAACUUUAAAACUUGUAGAAAAGGUGAAAAUUCCUUUUUAGAGACAAAGACGAAAAGACCCCGGGAAUUAUAAUAAAAAUUGUUUGUUGGGGCAACAUAGUAUAUAAACAGCAGUAGUUAACAGGCUUAAACUUAAAAAAGAAUAAUUACCCCGGGGAUAACAGCAUAAUACUAAUAUGUGUUUGUGACCUCGAUGUUGGACUAAGAACCUUGUUAAUUAGAUAUUAACAAAUAUAAGCUCUGUUCGAGCUAUUAUUUCUU
RNAcentral lists this ribosomal RNA (400 nucleotides) under Liostomia clavula. RNAcentral's name for it is "partial 16S ribosomal RNA". It matches the Rfam family "Bacterial large subunit ribosomal RNA", at positions 1829 to 2597 of the family's 2925-position model. The record is from RNAcentral. Lineage: Eukaryota; Metazoa; Mollusca; Gastropoda; Pyramidellidae.